This 67-nucleotide transfer RNA is filed under the name Caenis sp. JYZ-2018. Its description in RNAcentral is "tRNA-Ile". Lineage: Eukaryota; Metazoa; Arthropoda; Insecta; Ephemeroptera; Caenidae. The record is from RNAcentral.
AAUGAAGUGCCUGACUAAAGGAUUAUCUUGAUAGGAUAAAUUAAGUAAAUUCUAUUUACCUUCAUUA